GCUAGACCAACACAUGGGACAUGGGAUUUAAGCGCUUCUAUCUUGUUCUGCAGGAUGCUGCUGCUCAUCUGCCUCCAUGCUGAUCCCUGCAAAAUCCAGAGGGAGCCAGCUUCUUUAUUUCCAGCUGAAAGGCCCUGAUGACUGCGAGGAGUCUGCUUCACACCGGGUCAGGACGUAUUGACCGACCGCUGCUCUCCAAACUGGACCUGUUGUUCAGCGGACGGCUGACAGCAUCACUGGGUCUUGCUCCUGCUGAUAAUAGAAAUAAAGAGCAAAUACAUGUGCCAUUAACUUAGAAACAAAUAUUUCCUGCCUUUGCUUUCCUCAGUCAUACAUUUGUACCUCCUCACUUACAGACGUCGGGUUCAGAACAGCUCUGUACUCAGAAAGCUGGAGAUCACAGUGUGGAAAAGCCCCCAGCGAACUGGCAGAAACGCUGUCCCCCAUUACAGCAGCAGCAGGGGUCAGGCCAUGGCAGCAAGCAUCCAACCUGCCCCAAAUUGGCUGCAAAAUGACCAAUUACCUGAGUGAAGGCUGUGGAGAAAGAACUUGGACAAAUAUGGCUUUUACUUAAUUCAGCUAAACUGUCAAAUAAACUAGUGUCACAUUGACAUCUCAUACUUGUUACAUGUUACAGUAUCCCUUGUUAAGUGAAGAUCUUGGCAUCAAAAUCCUAAACUAAUAAGAAAAUCAAUUUUAAGGAUGAUCAAAAUGUAGUCGAUGUGAGUGAAUUGCAUCGGAGUAGAAUCCAUACAGCUAUAAGGUUGGGUAUUAUUUCACCAACAUCAAAACAAUGAUUGAUUACACAUCUUUACAUGUAGGUCUUAUUGAAUUAAUUUCCCUGCAAAUGGAAAACAUGCAAAUUCGCCAAUUAAGUCAUUUGCCCAUGGAGAGCCGUGCUGCUUGACGUUCAGCUGCCACUGCGCCUUUAGUCUGAAACCCCUUUUUAGAUUUGUUAAGAGUUAAGUCUCCAACAAAGACAGGAAGGAGGUCAGCACUCAGCCAACACCUGAAUGCGCCUCUCUUUUUUGUGCUCCCCUUGAUCCCCACGGUCUGUGCCUGUCAUUAGUCUUAAUGAUGGAAAAUUGUCAUGUUGAUACAAGUCUUGCUCUCCCCCUCUCUUCUUUGUAUAAGUAGAAGGUGGAAGCUUUAUUCGUAACAAAACCGUGGACACUGCAUUUGUGCCGGGGGAGAAAAAAAGGCUGUAGAUGCUCUUUCCAUAGCUGGGAUAAUUAUUCCUACUGUGACCUUAAUGAUUCGCUCUGUUCAUCCUGCAUCUCAUCCACGCGCCAGGCCCUCAGCGGAGCCCUGUGUCAGGGAAUAUGAAAAACCCAUAUAAUGAAACCAUUUUGGCUGAUGGAAAAAAAGGGCUACUGAAGCUGCACUUGCUACAAAGACGGCUCAAUUAUAUGAGUAAUUGUGAUAAUUUCCCCUCCAUUCACUGCUUUCUCUGAAAGGCAAAAAACACAGAAGCUGAAAGGGAAAUUACUUGGACAAUAUAUAAUCUGUGAAAUGGUCACAACAGAAAAAAAAGAUGACUGUAAGAAAGUGUAGGACUAUAAAUAGGUAUGUUAAUGCAGGGCAGAUAAACACACCCUCAGCAGCUCGCAGCACUACCCUGAGAGCCCAUGUGAAUAGAAAAGAACAUGCAACAAAUGACCAUUGAAAAAGCAUGAUAAAAGUAGAUAUGCAGCUGCCAGAAAAUUAAACCUCCUUCUCCUUCCAAUUGCCAAAUUUCAGCUCCUGAAAAUGCACCCCCAUAGUUGGCUAUCAUUUGUUGUUCUCUGACAGGAAAAGGAUAAUUACCUCUCUCAGAGGCAGAGGACUGACAUGCCCUUUAGGCUUUGCCAUGAAUGCAGAAGCUUGAUAGAAAGCUGGAGGAAUAAUUUUCUUCUUCGCCUUCCCUUUAUGUUCAAGAGCAUGUUUUGUUCAGGAGAACUUGGAGAUGGCAGUAUUGUUGAGUGCAUUAAACCAUGGGUGUUCAUACUGUAAAUAUGACAUCCCUGUGUCUAUCAGCUUCUCCAUUCGGGGGGAAAAACUCUGAAAUGCAUUAAUAUUUCAAUUUCAUCUCGACGGGAGACAGGCGAGAAAGUGAGAUAUGCAUUACUUUUUUCUUUCACAGUGGGUAUUGGAUUAAACAUUUCCUGUCCUUCGAUGGAAAAUAACCUUUCCGUCAGAUAGAAGUGAGGCUGUACAUUCAAGUUUGUUGAGAAAGAAAGCAUUGUUUUGUAGGAAGUGUGCAAAAUAUACAUCUGCAUGAAUGCAAAUGAACUCAUCACCACGUCUUGUAACAGCUUUACGUUCAGCACUAGAUAUAAUAGUUAGAUACAUAGACUAAUUGUUUUCCUCUUACAUGUUCUCUCAUCAUGCCCACCACCUCUUCCCCCCCCCCUCAGAGAAACCUCCCACAUGUACGGCCGCUGACCCCUCAGGCCCUGCAAUCUGGAAUAAAUCUUUCCAGACAAGCCGAGCGACAUUACAGCCUUGCAGCUCAAAUACUUGUAUCACACUCAAAUGAUGAGUCUCUGUCACACACCAUGUCAUCUGUCUCAGCCCAACCCUCCAAUAACUUCCGUCCCAUUGAGCAGCCUUGUGUGUUACGGAGGCCAAGACAGCCAGAGACCCCCCGGUCCUACCUGAUUGUGGCUCCUGUAACACGGGGAAGCAGCUUGGGCCCAACACCAGCCUAUACUCAGCAUUGCUUUUGUGUAGCACACAAACACACACACACACACACACAUGUACCCACAAACCCACCAAUCUCAAUUCACUGCACCCCACUGUGCACUUCCUGACAGCCUCCAGAAAUGUUUUCAAGUUGUCAAGUCUCUACAGUAAUAGUCCCGGCGCGGAGAAUUCAACAAAACAAUAAUCACAUGAUCAGACAUCUAGGUUAUGUAAAGACUGCCAGAAUAAAACUGUUUGGGUUUCUUCUUAUUUUCACUUUGAAAUCUGCCGUCAUGUUUUUACUAUUUGGUCACUUGGACACAAAUUGGCUGCUUAAAUUGUAUUAUUUGAGUUGCAGCAGCUGUUGUGAUAUUUGAACACACAUUUAUUAUUACAACAGGUUUAUUUAGGUGACAGUGGUAAGGGACUGUAGGAAAAUGAUUAGGGGGAGAGGGUAAUGUGUUUUGUCUUUUUGUUAUAGUCAGAGAAAUGUAACUUUUUUUUAAGAAAGUAAAGAGGGUUUACACAGCUUAAUAUUUCAUUUAUUUCUCAUGAAUAUCAGGCAACAAUAUCAUCUGAUAUCACCUUUAACAACAGUGAUAACAAUGGCGCAUUAAAAAGC
This is a long non-coding RNA of Gymnodraco acuticeps, 3289 nucleotides long. RefSeq lists it as uncharacterized. The record is from RefSeq and is a predicted model, not a curated record. The transcript is spliced from 3 exons. Lineage: Eukaryota; Metazoa; Chordata; Actinopteri; Perciformes; Bathydraconidae.